GAACCAGUUUCAGAGUCAGAGCAACAGAAUGGGCUGAAACCAGGAGGCCAGGCCAACUUGAGGGCCAGGUGAAGGCCAACAGAUCAAACCAGGGGUGGGGUGAGGUCAGGUUACAGCUGUGGAAGCACACACCAGGAUUAAAACUAGGAGCCUAUCAGAUGAAGUGUCUGAGGUUCUUCCCUGCCCAGGGUUCUGUUCCACCUUUUUCUAACACAGAUCCCUGCUUUUCUAUGAGGGCACCAUCCAAAUGAUUAAGGUGAGGCUAACCUCAAGUCCCCAUAUCAUGGGAUGAACGAGUAAUUCAGGAAUAACUAAAAAAGUCUUCUCUCCCCACAGUCUCUAGCUGUAAGGCAUAGGGGAAAAGUGUGCUAGUCUUUGUUUGUUCUGGAGUUACAAAUCGGCACUGGGGUAUCCCACGCUGGACAAAAGAGUUGGAGACAGACAGACUUCAAUGUCUCUCUGAAUUACUAUAAUUUCCACUUUUGCUUAAGCUAGUUUUAAUUUUCUAAAAUAUUCAUUUGCCAACAAAAAGGUCCUGUCUCACACUUCGGCUUGCAGGAGAAAGGACAGCUAUAAUCAGAUACCAUUAGCCAGCUGACCAACACUGGUCAACAAUUGUGGAGCUUAUCAACACAGAACUGGCAGCUUGGCGGGGCUCCAGAGGCAAAGACAUAGGGAGGCCAGGUAUCAGGGAUUCCGUCUUGGGGAAACAGAUAGUUCCUGCAGUACUCAGGUAUCAGACUAGGGUUUUGUGAUCAAUGAAUUGGUUAGGAAGGGGUCUUGGAGAACUGGCAUUCAAAGGCCCCAAAAGGAACAGCAGCACAGCUGACUACAUCCAACUGAAACAACUGCUUUUCCUAAUGGCUGGUGCCAGGCAGUCAGAUACAGGGCAGAGCUUAACUUGGACCCAGGAAUGUAGCCUUAGGGAGCCCUGUUAAGGAAUCCCACAGGACAUGAAAUUAUACCCUGGAAUAGUCUCAUCAAAUAUGCACAUAUGUGCCUAUAAGAUGCAAAUUGGGACACACUGGAUGAUCAACUAACUGCUGGAUAAGUGUUUUGAUGACUUUGAGCAGGAUUUCACCACCCCUGGAAAUAGCACAAGGGAAAUAUGCCCACCAACUUAGGGAAAAAAUAUGUGGAAAUGGAGUCCUGAUAUUUAAAGGAAUAUCAAGUCUUAGGAAUCUUUAUGAGAAGCUUUGCAUUUAUCACGAAACUAUCACUACUUUCAUCACAGAACACUUCAUAUACUGAAUGAAUGCCAGACACACCAUUAGAAUUCUAACAUGGGCAAUGUAUUGUAAUUUCCCAAAACUUAGACAGCUGAGCAUUGCUCUGAACCAUUUGUCAUAAACUAAGAGGACAAACUUUAAGACCGGUUUGUCUCCUUCUGCUUUUAGUGAGGUUUGCAUUAAAGAAAGGAAUAUUUCCUUCGUAACUCCUCAUACUUUUGUAAUUCUACCUUUAGAACCAAUUCAGCGCAGUUUAAAUAUUCAUGGAGUACCACAUAUGUGGCAAGAUCCUGCAAAGGAAGUCAAAGAUGAAAAUACUAUGGUCCGGACCCUCAAGGGACUUACGGCCUACCCUUGGUGUUUCCCAAGGAGAGCAAGGGAUCAUCUUAUUUUUUACCUCACAGUGAAUCUGCGGUACAGGAAUUAUGCAUCCCUUUCACACAUGCUGGUUUCUGUUCUUCAUCUUUUAUCAGUCUGAAUGUCAGAGCUCUUUAGAUACCUGAUGGUUUUUCUUAGAUUUGCAUUCAUUCCAGUAACAAUGUUUUGGGUGUCUAUUACAUGUCAGGCCUAGUAAUAAUAGUGCACAACUUGGCCCUGGGGUCCCAUGCUCGGAAGGGCCCCACACGUCAUCUAAUGCUCUGCUGUCUGGUAAUUCUUUUUAAACAAGGAGCCCAUCUUCAUUUUGCACUGGGCUGUACAGAUUAUAGCCUGGUUCUGUAGCUGGUUCUUCUGGGUACUGGGCUAGGUGGUGGGGACAUGGUGGUGAAAAGGGAGACAUCCAUAGUGGGACAAGAAAUAAAAAAAUACACAAAUUAUCAUGGAAAGCUCUACAUUAAUAUUCUGAAUGAAUGGAAUUUUUGUUUGAAAGGAAGAGCACCAAAUACAGAAAACGAAUUCAUCAUUUACUAGAAAUUGGGACGGCAUCCCCAACCGAUAAGGAACAUCUGAGGUUUAUUCAAGGUCUCCUUCAAAAUCACAUGUUUCAGCAGUUGGAUGGGGUACACCAUGUCCAGGAAAAACAACCCUGAUGGAAAACUCCAUUACUCAUGUUCCCCUCCACACAGAGAAAGAGGGAAGUUUCAUGUUCUAGGCAGAUUCUCUUGCUUUCUUAACCAUAAAUGGAAAAAACAGAGGUGAAAAAGAGGGAGAAAGGCAGGCAGUUUGGCGUUUCCUUUCUGUCUGUUCACAGGGUGAGUGCCAUGACUUUUGAUUUGGUUUUACCAUAAGGCAUGUGCAGUUUUUCAGGCGGUGGACAUAAACUAUGUGACAUCUAAUCUCAUGUCCAUGUGUGGAGAAAGGAACAGAAAAAGGCCUCUGAAAGUCAGAAGUCAUCAAAACUGCUCUAGCAUUCAUUGAAAAGUGCCCACACUCACUGUUACUUUCUAAUUUUGAAAGGUACAUGCAAUAAAAUAAUAGUCAACAGCCCACAUAUAUUGAGUGUUCACUAGCACCAACUACUAUGCCCCAUUCUUUACAUAGAUUAUCUUCUUUUAUCCUGAAAACAACCCUAUGAAGUAGGCCAUAGUUCAUCUCCUUUCCCUCUUACAGAGGAGAAACUGAGGUUCAGGGAAUCUGGUAACAAAAGUUCCCCAGUUGGGUGUAGAACAGGAUUUGAACCCAGGGCUUACAUUCUUAACUACAGCCUUUCCAUCUGCUGCUGUUGACAAUGAGAAAUACACCCAGGGGUUAACAUUCAGGCAUGUUGUUAACAUUUCCUUCCUGUACUUCUGCAGAAUCUGGGGUUUUGCUUUGUUUUUCCCUUUCUCUUUCCCUUUACAUUCCUUUAAAAAGCAGCACAACACAAAACUUUUUAUGGUGGAAAAUUUCUAGCACUUACAAAAAGUGACAGACUGGCAUAAUGGACGUCCACAUAGCCAUCACCCAGUUCCAGCAGUUACCAACAUAUGGCUAAUCUUACCCACUUGCUGUCCUUCUGUAUGCAUUACUUUGAAGCAUACCCAAGCCUUCAAACAACUUCAUCUCUGCUGCCUUGACGGUUCUGACUUCCCAACAGUCUCCCCCAGGCCACCACUGUAAGGGUGGGAGCAUGCACACAUCCAGCAGCCAGCGUGAGGCCAUGGGCCUGCCCUCUACCAGAGAGCAGAUCUGGCCUCCUUGGUGAUCACAGAAAGAAGCCUGCACUAAGACCUGCCUUUUGGCCUUUGCCUGUCAUCCUCCAAAAGGAACCUGGAUGGGUCUGGCAGAGGGAGAGACUGAGACAGAAAGUCCUAGGAAGGACUUCAUGAAGCCAAAUGUAGGAAAGGAAGGGCUGAAUGCUUUGCAAGCUGAGUCCAUUCCAUGUAAGGGCUGAGUGGAUGGGCUUUGUGUUUAGACAGAUCUGAGCUCCAAUCUUUGCUCUUGGACAAGUUACCUAACAGCUCUAAACAAUUCCCAUAUCUGCCAAAUGGAUUUAAUAAUACCUAUGUCAUAUCAUUGUUAGGAGGAUUAAAUGAAAUGGUAAAUAUAAAGUGUUUAGAAGUGUGUCUGACACAGAAAAUGUUCAUGAAGUAGAAAUAACCAUAGCUAACACUUUAUAAUCCUUACCGUGAGCCAGGCACCCUAGUGAGUCACUUACUUAUGUGAUCUCCUGUUGCUCCCUCAACAACUCUAAGAAGUAGGCACUAUUAUCGUCCCCAUCUCAUUCCCAAGAAAAUGAUGAACGAAGUGGUCACAAAACUUCCCCAUGUCACACAGCUAUCAAAUGAGGGUGUAGGGGGCUUAAAUCCUAGUCAGAGUUUGCAUUCAUAAAUACUAGCACGGGAUAACUUUAGGCUUUGAAUCAAGUGUGCACAAGGGAUCCAAGUUUUUACACUCGAAAAGCUACUAGUUCUCAAUUCAUAUUAGUUUUAACCUUUACACCAAACUUAAAAUGUAGAUCUUAAUUUAUCUUUCAUAAGGUAAAGAGGCUCAGAGCAAUUGAGUAGCUUGGCUCAAGGUCACAAAGCUAUUAUGUGAUAAAACCUUGGUUUUAAUCCAGGUCCAGCUGACUACAGCCCAUUCUAUUUCCCUAUUUUAUCAAGGCCCUUCUCUCUCUUGGAUAAUAAGCAUCCAAACAUUUUAAUGAGACAAACUAAUUCCUGUAAAAAUAUUUGCUGGCUACGCUACCCAAGAGACCCAUAAUGUUUGUAAUAACUGGGUCUCCUUAGCAGUUGCAAAUCUAAGGGUCAUAUUAGAGGAGAGCUCACACAGAAGAGAAAGGCAGCAGUCAGUGGGGUCCCAUAGCCUUCACGCCUGAGAAUCUAGGGCUCUUAGUCAUAUGGAGUGGGGUUUAGGGUUUAGAGGAAGAAAAUGUAAUAGUUUCCUGUUGAAGAGACAGAAAUAAAACAACUACAUAGUUGUAAGCAUCUCUGCUUUCAUAGAAUAAACCAAGAAGACAGCAGCAUUAAGAUGCCAGAAGUUGUUGAUAAAAAGCUGUGCCAUGAAACCAUGUGGGCACAGCGUCUGCAUGCAGUGGUGAGAGGGCCCCUUUCCUGCUCGCUGCACUGUGCUGUAAUUCUUAAUCUGGGUGACGGGGAGGAAGGGGGAGCCAAGGCUUCUACAGAUUUUAGAAGCUCCAAAGGUUAAUCAUACACAUAAAAAAUUGAGAACAUUGCACACAUGAAGAAAAGUGUUUGCCAGGCACUAAUCUACCCAUCCACUUGUCAAUCCAUUCAUCCUUCCUUCCAUCCAUAUGUCCAUCCAUCCAUCCUACAUAUACAUCUGAUGAUAUUUUCAGUGCUUUUAAAUGUCAAUACAUCUAAUUUUCAUAACAAUCCUCGGAGAAUAGCUCUUUAAGAGAGGUACUGUAAUUAUCCCUAUUUUACAACAGCAGAAAAAAACUGGUCUCAGAAAACUCACAUGGCUAACAAAAGGGGAGUUAGGAUUUGAAUUCAGGAAGUUUGAGCAUAGAGACUUCAGUUUUAAGCACUAGGCUAUUUUUCCACCCAGUAUUUGUUGAGUGAAGGAAUAAGGGAAUAAUGAUAAGAUCCUAUAUUUAUGUACUGUUUACCUUUUAAUAAACAAAGCAGCAAGUCAGUGGCAAGAGGCUGAGCAAUGGAGUCAGUUAGGGCUCUGUUCAAAUUCCAGCACCAUGACUUAGUAGCUAAUAAGUAUAUAAAACCAAUAAAGUGUGGUUCAUGAUACUUUCUUAUAGAGUUGUUGUAAGGACAAAAAUAAGGCACAACUUUUUAUAAUGCUAAAAAUCAAGCAACUUUCCUUUCCAGUAUAUUGCCUAGAGAAGCUAAGCUUUUGUUUCUAAGUGCAAGAGGCAAAUACAGAAAUUUUUACCAUAGUAUUUUGGGACAGUGAAAAUUUGGAAACAACCUAAAUGCCCAUCAACAAGAGAUUGGUAUACUCAUGCAGUGGAAUAUAGUGGUUAAAAUGAAUUCAGAGAUAAAUCCCAAAAGCUUGUUGAGAGAAAAAUAAGGUAGCAGAAUGUCACAUCCUUACAUAAAUUUUAAAACACCAAAAUCAUAUAUGUUGUUUAUAGACAUAUGCAGCAAAAUUGUAAAAACAUGCCUGGGAAUGAAAAAACACAAACUUCAGAGCAGAAUUGUCUUUAGGAAUAAAGAACAAGUACAGAAGCAGUUUCAACUGAUUCUAUAAAAUUUUAUUAUAUUACAAAAAAGUAUGUGAAGCAAACAUGGCAAAAUGUUAAGAUGCCUUAAAACUGAGUGGUGGGUACAUAGGUUUUUACUUAUGUUAACUUUUAUAUGUUUGUAUACUGAAAUUAUCCCCAACUUUUUUUUUAAAGAAGAUAAUGCCAAGUGCCAACCAAGCACAAGGCCUAGCUCACAGAAGCUGUUCAAGAUUUAGUAGCUGUUAGUCAAGACAAUGAUGCUCUAUAAAAGCACAAGGAGAAAACAGUUAUUCAAGCAACAAGCUUUGAGCAAACAAAAGUCAAGACACUAAAAAUGAUUAGGACAUUAGAAGGAAAUGGUACCCUACUAUAUUUACCAUAUUUCCUAGUAGAAGUUUAUUUCAUGGAUGCCAGAAUCAGUGUUAUAUAUGUACAUGUACACACACACACACAUGAAAUUACACAUGGAUGCCAAAUUUAAUUUUCUUUCAUCAGAGCUUAAUUUCUGCCUCCUUUCCAGGUUGUAAGUCAUAUGGUCUUGUUUAUCAAAUUUAGAACUACUUAUCUUAGUUUCCAUUCAAAUCACUCACACUUUUUCAGAGCAACCAAACUGAGCAUCACAAAUAUAAUGUUCAGAAUCAACAUAAGCAGAGGAUGAACAGGGAGUGAAGGUGGCCUGCAGCUCUACCAAGACGGAAUGAGAAAAACAAUCACCGAUUUGAAAAGGCAGGAGAGUCUAUUCUUAACUUGGUGUUUUUCAAGUUGUGCAACAAAGGUUCAAAAAUGAUUUUCGAGGAUCCCAAGACUGUGAUUUUGUUGAUCUUAAGUAAGACAAUCUUUUAGAAAGUUUAUUUAUGUCAAGUGUCAGGGUAAAACAUCAAGACAGUUUUCCUUCUCAGCUUUUGGGUAUCUUAGUGUCUCACUUCCCUGUCAUAAAAUCCCAGUCUUUGGUUACCAUAAAAAGUGGAAGAUUAAUUUUCUCAGUGAUAAGUGGGGUCAUAUUUCAUUUACCAGCCAAGUUUCCCCUCCUUUCUGUAUGUGUACUACUAUUAAGUGACUCCAUGGCUGUUCAAUCAGAGUGUAGGAUCCAGUUGGGUGAUCACUCUGAUAGUCAGGCCAGGUUUCAAAGCUAGACUCUCCAUCCUUCAUACCAAGGCAACCCUUACUCUCCACUUGCUUCUCCUUGGCGCUGCUUUGAUCCUACCACCUGGUGGGCAAGCGUUUGCAGAAAAUGCUGUGAUGUGCUGCCCAGGCUUUUCCUGUCAGCUGUCAGGAGUGUUUGAGCUCAUAGCGCUCCCCACUCAACCCCCUCUGGGAACUGUCAUUCCUAAAAGAGAGCUGCCUAUUUCAAGGUCAUUCCACUUUCUCAAGGGCAGCCCACCCCAAUGAUGGGUCGGUGAAGGUAUGGGGAAGACCCAGCCUUCUUGCUCCGACUUGCGACAACUCUCAGUUCCAGAGCUCUCUGUGAGUUUACUGAGGACUAUGUUGCAUCUGAAUUGUAGCCCAAUUUCUCCCUCUGCUCAAUCCUGCCUUUUUCCUAUUUCCUUCUACAAGUGUUGACCUUUAGAGUGCCCUUUCAUAAACUUCCCUCUUGUUAUUCUCCAUUUCAGAGUCUGUGUCCUAAGGAAGCAAAUCUGCAUCAGCAUGCAGGCUGUUCCACAGUAGGACUGCUUUUCCUUGCCCGGAGGCUGAGUGAGUUCUGUGACCAGCUCUGACCAAUGACUUGUGACAUGAGAUACUUAGAGGCUAAGCACUUAAUUGUCAGUGCAAAGCCUCAGAGAGCUCUCUUCAUUCUCUUUCACAGCAACUGGCAAUAUUCUGUGAGCCUAAGUGACAGUAAUGAGCAGCACGCACAGCCAAUCUGUAGUAGUGGGAACCAAAAAUAAAACUUUAUUUCUUUAAGCUAUUAGGAUCCUGGGGCUGUUUGUUGCCACAGCAAAACCUGUCCCAACCUGACUAAUACACCUGAACCACUGCACCAGCUUCCUAACUUCCCUCCCUUCCUGCUUCUACCAUGCCACCCUCUCUCAAACCUAGCAGCCUCACUGCUGCCCAGGAUCGCUCUCAAUCAGCGUCUCCCCUGCCCCCAAAGUUCUGAAGGAAAACGUCAAACUCUAAUCUUAAAGCAAAAGAUUACUCAAGUUCAGGUGUUACUCUCAAUCCAAAUCUGUCUGUAACUAUGACCCUGUCUCUCCUUCUCUCCUCAACAGCCUUAAAAAACUCGUUAUAAUCCUCUGAAAUGCCAUUUUCUCACUCCUGACAUGCCUUUCUGUCUUUCUUUAUUGAUCCAACUGCUACUUGUCCUUCAGACCUCAGUUACAGAAUCAUCUCCUCUAGGAAGUUCCUUGGCCCCCUGUCUGAUUUACACACCUCCACUGUGUGCCUAGAGCACCCUGGGCAGAGCUCCUCAACAGAAUUUCAUUUCCUUAACUGCUACUUGACAACAGAUUUCUUGAGGGCAGGAGAAAUGUCUAUUUUGACUUUGUGUUGCUAACACCUUGGCACCUUAACUGGGGCACAGAAAAUCCUCGAUAAUCAUUUUAGGUAUAAAUAAAUGGACAAACAAAUGAGUCAAUAAUCCAGUCAUUAUGUUCUGUAGCAAAGAAUCUAGUAAACUGAACACUCAUCCUAGAAAUGAGUUUAUUAAUGUCCUAGUGACUAGGUUUUUGAUGAGAAAUUCUUCCGUAUUCCGUCAAGGUCUACUAUUCUAUGAGUAAAUUUUGGACUUUUCUUCCUCUAGUAUUUUCUGCUUACUACAUUGCUUGUUUUUCUAGUUUAGGGACUGUCAAACUUUCUCUGUAAAGGGCCUGAUAGUAUUUUUGGCUUUGUGGCCAAUAUAGUCUUUGUAUCAACUACUCAACUUCAAGUAGAUGAAUCACAACUACUCAAUUUUGCCAUUGGAGUGCAAAGCAGCCAGUGAAAUGCAAAUGAAGGAGCAGGGCUGUAUACCAAUAAAACCUUAUUUACAAAAGCAGAAGGCAAGGCCAGUUUUCUCCUACAGGUCAUAGUUUGUCAGCCCUCUUUCUAGGCUAUAUAAUUUAGGGGACUGUGGAGGGUGAAGGGUGGGGGCCAGCAAAGUGUACAUGGUUUGAAAUGCACACAGGUCACUGAAUGCUCAAUGAGUAAUUUGCCUUUUGGGGGACUUGGUCUUCCCCAACCAAUGUGGUGGGAUGCAAAGUUCAGAUGUUUCCAGUUUAUGGGUCAUCAGAGUCUUGGAUAUAGAGAGAUUGUCUCCUUACAGACCCUAGUAUGAACUGCCUGUGACUGCCUAGAUUUUUUAUAUAGGCUUAAAGAAAACGUAGGUCUACUAUGUAGAACAGAAAUCCAAAUAUCCAAGGUCCACCCUACACAUGCUGCUGUGAGAAAUUCCACAGUCUCUCUUAGUGAACACCCUCACAUGUAAAGAGAGGAAUUCAGUUUCUAGAGAACUAGUCUCACUUAUAAAAACAGUAGCAAUACCCUUAGCUACCCUUUGUCAAGUACCCUCUGUGGCUUUGGUGUUGAGUCUUACAUAAUCAAGAGCUUGUGCCAGACAAAGUGCUCAGUGUCAUGUACAUUAUCUCAUGAAUUUUCACCCUAUCCAAAAUGCAGGUUUCUACAGUUCUUCCCUCUUACCCAGAGGGAAAUGGAGCUCAGAGAAAUAAAGCUCCAUUUGUAAAGCGAUUUGUUUGAGGUCAAAUUUGCUCCAGUUUGAGCCUACAGCCUCUCCUGCGUUCUGCACUGCAUGCUACCCCUCAGUGCCAGCUGCCUGCCUCAUGGGAGCUGACCCAGCCUCUUCUGGUCACUUAAAUAUCCUGGAUUCUGUCCAGGUUGCCUCCUACUGGAGGCAAUGACUCCAUUCAGGGUUUGCCUUCCAGAUGUUGGGGAUGAGGGGAAAACUUAAUUCCAAGUAAUAAACCAAGGGCUUUGUCUGAACAUGUCAUACUUAAUGAAAAGCAAAGUGUGUUGAUCCUUAUUCAACCACAAUCUCCCAUCAUUUUCCAUCUCAAUUGUUUGUUAAACCUAUCCAGGAAAGAUAUAAGCAGGAGAGAUAUAUGGCUGAUGAAUGAGCUUUUAAUAUUUCACCCCAAAUUUAAGGUAAAUGUCCCAUUGUCUGCUACUUCAGCCAAAUUCAAACCUUCACUCAAAGUAAGUCUUUGUUAAAAGCAGCCUCAGCCUGCUUUUUAUUUACUCAUAUUACUACAGAAAUGCCUUGUAGCUAGUAUCUUAAUUAUUCAUGGUUUUUGGCAAAUUAAAUCUCUUGCCUCUCCAAUGUCUAGAAGUGGAGGAAGUGUUCAAUUCCAAAGAAACUAUGCCUUCCCAGCUGUGCCAGCCAGGCAAUAAUGUUGUUGCCAAAUUCCUUAUGAAUAGGUGGGAGAUAAUAUUUCACUUAGAGUAUAUGAAUAAACAAAACACCCCCAGGGGACUGUCAGGUAUUUCAUGUAAUGGAUAGCUCCCACCCCACCCUUAUUUUAUGUCUCCCUAGAGUGACUGAGCCCUGGAUUUCCUUACAAAUAGAACUAUUCAGACUAGAAGAAAAAGACACCUUUUUAUCAUCAAGAUGAUGAAAAAUUGGCCUCAGUAAAGUUGUAACCCUAUGGUGUUUCCAGUUCAUACGCCAGAAAGCUGGGCAGAACAAUGGAACACUCCCUUCUAUGGUUUAGAAUUCAUAAUUAUGGGAUAGUGAUAUGGGUGGUCUAAUGAUGGGCCCCCACCCCCUGAACUCAAAUUACUGUGGCAAAAUACAAACAUACUUGUGCAUUUAUCUUUGUACUUAUCUUGAAGAGUAACUAAUAACUUUAUUUAAAGAGCCCUACAUUUGAGAUUCUAAUAAUGCAGGUGCAGGGACAUUGCUGAUCGCAUCUCGACCGAAGCACUGACCCUGUCUCUCUCUGUUUGAUAGAUGGGUGGUCUAGGUGGGGACAACCUCACUCCCAGCUUCAGAUAUGGGUCUGCUCUCCCAAUGGCCUAAGCUAAUCAAUGUAAUUCAGUGUUUCUCAACCUUUUUAUUCAUUAUCACCCCAUUAAGGAGUCUUUUAGAUAUUUUUUGUUUGUUAGUCACCACCUGCUCCUGAAAAUUCUAAGGCCACAAAUACACAAUAUAUCUGUUUACAUACUGUAUAUAUAUCUGUGCUUCUUCCAUAAAAGGAGUAAGAUUUUUUUUUUUUGCCUUCCUCCUGUCCCCAAGAAUCAAUUUUUGCCUCUUGGGGACCACAUUAAUCCCAUUGAGAAUGCAUGAAUUAUAAUGCCAUUCCUUAUGCCAAUAUCAAUCAUGGCACUGGGUGUACGCACAGACCCUAAGAUGACCUAUCAGAGUGUAAACUGGUGA
Molecule: long non-coding RNA, 11095 nt
Organism: Manis pentadactyla (Chinese pangolin)
Lineage: Eukaryota; Metazoa; Chordata; Mammalia; Pholidota; Manidae
Exons: 3
Source: RefSeq, a predicted model, not a curated record